AGCGAACGCUGGCGGCAGGCCUAACACAUGCAAGUCGAGCGCCCAGCAAUGGGAGCGGCAGACGGGAUAGUAACACGUGGGAACGUACCCUUCAGUUCGGAACAACCCAGGGAAACUUGGGCUAAUACCGAAUACGUCCGUAAGGAGAAAGAUUUAUCGCUGAAGGAUCGGCCCGCGUCGGAUUAGCUAGUUGGUGAGGUAAUGGCUCACCAAGGCGACGAUCAGUAGCUGGUCUGAGAGGAUGAUCAGCAUCACUGGGACUGAGACACGGCCCAGACUCCUACGGGAGGCAGCAGUGGGGAAUAUUGGACAAUGGGCGCAAGCCUGAUCCAGCCAUGCCGCGUGGAUGAUGAAGGCCCUAGGGUUGUAAAGUCCUUUCGGCGGGGAAGAUAAUGACGGUACCCGCAGAAGAAGCCCCGGCUAACUUCGUGCCAGCCGCCGCCGUAA
Molecule: ribosomal RNA, 447 nt
Filed under: uncultured bacterium
Lineage: Bacteria
Description: partial 16S ribosomal RNA
Rfam family: Bacterial small subunit ribosomal RNA
Source: RNAcentral